GGGAGGACCACCUCCCAAGGCUAAAUACUACUUGGUGACCGAUAGAGAACAGUACCGUGAGGGAAAGGUAAAAAGAACCCCGAAAGGGGAGUGAAAUAGAACCUGAAACCCUGCGUUUACAAGCAAAGAAAGCACGUGAAAAGUGCAAUCUUGUACUUUUUGUAGAACGGGCCAGCGAGUUACUUUUGUAAGCAAGGUUAAGAAGUUAAGCUUCGAAGCCGAAGAGAAAUCAAGUCUUAAUAGGGCGACAUAGUUUACAGGAGUAGACCCGAAACCAGGUGACCUAUCCAUGAGCAGAGUGAAGUUAAAGUAAAAUUUAAUGGAGGCUCGAACCGGGUGUGGUUUAAAACACAUCGGAUGACUUGUGGAUAGGGGUGAAAAGCCAAUCGAACCUGGAGAUAGCUGGUUCUCCUCGAAAUAGCUUUAGGGCUAGCCUUUAGGAUGUUUAAUGGAGGUAGAGCUACUGACUGGUUGCGGGGUGUUUAUACAUUACCAAAACCUAUCAAACUCCGAAUGCCAAGAAAACAAACCUAAGGAGUCAGACUAUGUGGGAUAAGCUUCAUAGUCGAAAGGGAAAGAGCCCAGACCAUCAGCUAAGGUCCCUAAAUACCGAUUAAGUGGUAAAGGAUGUGAAGUUACCCAAACAACUAGGAUGUUGGCUUAGAAGCAGCCAUACAUUUAAAGAGUGCGUAAUAGCUCACUAGUCGAGUGACCUUGCGCCGAAGAUUUCCGGGGCUAAAUCGGAUACCGAAGCUAUGGACUCAACAUGAGUGGUAGAGGAGCAUUGUGUAAUAGGUAGAAGCAGUAUCGAAAGGCGCUGUGGACGAAACACAAGAGAGAAUGCUGGCAUAAGUAGCGAGAAGGAGUGUGAGAAUCACUCCCGUCGAAAACCUAAGGGUUCCUGAGCAAGGCUCGUCCCCUCAGGGUAAGUCGGGACCUAAGGCGAGGCCGAAAGGCGUAGCCGAUGGACAAGUAGUAAAAAUUCUACUACUAUCAAUUAUCGUAUAAAUGAAGCGGGGACACAGAAGGAUAAGCUAAGCGUACCAGAUGGACGAGUACGCUCAAAUAAAAAGGCAUGCCAGGACUAAUAACCAGGCUAAGCCAAUUUAUGAUGAGGAUCGAAAAUAAGUAGAGAAGUAGCCGAUUUCACACUGUCAAGAAAAGCCGCUAAAUAGAUAAAAGAUACCCGUACCGUAAACCGACACAGGUAGGAAAGGAGAGAAUCCUAAGACGCGCGGAAGAACCUUUGUUAAGGAACUCGGCAAAAUGACCCCGUAAGUUAGCGAGAAGGGGAGCCAGAGCGAUCUGGCCGCAGUGAAUAGGCCCAAGCGACUGUUUACCAAAAACACAAGUUUCUGCUAAGUCGAAAGACGACGUAUAGGAGCUGACACCUGCCCGGUGCUGGAAGGUUAAGGGGAAAUGUUAGCAAUAGCGAAGCAUAGAACUUAAGCCCCAGUAAACGGCGGCCGUAACUAUAACGGUCCUAAGGUAGCGAAAUUCCUUGUCGGGUAAGUUCCGACCCGCACGAAAGGUGUAACUUCGGUAGUACAUGUACAGAAUAGGUGGGAGACAUAGAUCCUGGUACGCAAGUAUCAGAGGAGUCACAAUGUGGGAUACCACUCCUGUAGUGCUGGAAUUCUAACCUUGAGCCGUAAACCGGUUUAGGGACACUGUCAGUUGGGCAGUUUGACUGGGGCGGUCGCCUCCCAAAAAGUAACGGAGGCGUUCAAAGGUUCCCUCAGCACGGACGGAAAUCGUGCAAAGAGUACAAAGGCAGAAGGGAGCUUAACUGCGAGAUAAACAGAUCGAGCAGAUGAGAAAUCAGGACUUAGUGAUCCGGUGGUACCACGUGGAAGGGCCAUCGCUCAACGGAUAAAAGCUACCCUGGGGAUAACAGGCUUAUCUCCCCCAAGAGUUCAUAUCGACGGGGAGGUUUGGCACCUCGAUGUCGGCUCGUCUCAUCCUGGGGCUGAAGUAGGUCCCAAGGGUUGGGCUGUUCGCCCAUUAAAGAGGCACGCG
RNAcentral lists this ribosomal RNA (2019 nucleotides) under human gut metagenome. Its description in RNAcentral is "bacterial LSU rRNA". It matches the Rfam family "Bacterial large subunit ribosomal RNA", at positions 446 to 2602 of the family's 2925-position model. The record is from RNAcentral.